Molecule: long non-coding RNA, 578 nt
Filed under: Homo sapiens (human)
Lineage: Eukaryota; Metazoa; Chordata; Mammalia; Primates; Hominidae
Description: HSALNT0312669
Source: RNAcentral
CCGGCUACAAGUCCAGGCACCUAAUAGAGGGGUGCAUGCUCAUGAGUAGCUCAGAGGACCUCAUGCUCAUGGCCACAGAGAUUGGUCCAGAAAAAGGCACAUGCACAUAAACCAGGGAUUUACUUUCAGCUCUGUUCCAGAACAGAUGCUCUUUUCCACUCCCCACGGAGAUCAAGAGCUUGGAGCAGAAAUAAUAGCUCUCCUCACAAAAAGACAAGGUGUCUGUACUUUAUUCAUCAAUGACCUAAACUAAAACUAUUACAGAGCUGCAGAGAAUUUUCUGAGUGGAGAGAACCACACAAUGUCUUUAACUUUUGGGGGAAGAAUCAAGAGCUCUAAGACAAAUCACUUUAUGCACCUAUCUCUACAGUCUUUGCAUACAUGGCCUACUUUUAUUACCCCUUCUCUUUUUGAGGUAACCAGGUAUCCAGGUUAAUCACGCUACCCUUGGUUAUCAUCACAUGUAUUUCUGAAAUUGUCUUUUACAUAUAUCUUUUUACUUGUUAAUGUAAGACAUAAGAACAGCCUUUAUCUUGUUGAUUAUGGUAAUUAGCACAUAGUAAUUUCUCAAUAAAAAU